AACGAACGCUGGCGGCAUGCCUAACACAUGCAAGUCGAACGAGACCUUCGGGCCUAGUGGCGCACGGGUGCGUAACGCGUGGGAACCUGCCCUUGGGUCGGAAUAACUUCCCGUAAGGGGUGCUUCUACCGGAUAAUGUUUUUGGCCCAAAGGUUUUUCGGCUUUGGAUGGGGCCGUGUUGGAUUGGCUCGUGGGUAGGGGAACACCCGACCAAGGCGACGGUCCAUAGCUGGUUUGAGAGGAUGAGCAGCCACACUGGGACUGAGACACGGCCCAGACUCCUACGGGAGGCAGCAGUGGGGAGUAUUAGGCAAUGGGCGAAAGCCUGAUCCAGCAAUGCCGCGUGAGUGAUGAAGGCCUUAGGGUUGUAAAGCUCUUUUACCCGGGAUGAUAAUGACAGUACCGGGAGAAUAAGCUCCGGCUAACUCCGUG
This 432-nucleotide ribosomal RNA is filed under the name uncultured bacterium. RNAcentral describes it as "partial 16S ribosomal RNA". It matches the Rfam family "Bacterial small subunit ribosomal RNA", at positions 29 to 507 of the family's 1533-position model. The record is from RNAcentral.